UAUGGAAGAGAUUAUUUUCAAUUAUAUUACUUAUUUAUUGAAUCAUAAUAUAUUCCUACAGACCUCCUGUGCUACAGAAGCGUCACACUCCUUUGUGAAGAUGUUGCCAGAAUGCUGCUGAAGUGAGGAUUGACACUAAGCAGGGUCAUAAUCCAAAGCAAUGCUGCACAAUCUAUCCUUCAGAGUCCCAAGGCCUACCUCUCAAUGACUUCCUUCCAUAUGAAACAUUUACCUGCUUCGGUAGCCAGCAAGACUCUGUAAGCAACAUGGACACUAUAGUGCCCAGCGAGUCCUGUCACCAAUGCACCCUCCAAGGCCUGAGGAAAGCCAUCGGUGAGGACCAUGGAGAGCUGCCCUUGGCUCCUCAAUGAGGCUGUCCCCUCAACCUGAGGGGGUUCCCUCUGCAGGUUCUCUGUUACAUUUCUCAGUUACAGAGCUUUCUCUCUCUUGAGUCUGACAAAUCCCUUCUAAUUAGUUUCAAACGUUCCAGGACCAUUUAUUUUCAUUUGUUAUCACUGCCUAGCAAAUGCCUGAGAGUCCCCUCUUGUCUUCACUGUAAGUAAGCCCCCUUCUCCUCAGCUGUGACACUGUGGCCACAGUCUGUAGGUAACUCCCUCUCCUCAGCUGUGACACUGUGGCCACAGUCUGUAAGUAACUCCCUCUCCUUGGCUGUUGUUGUACCCAGAGUCCCCCAAAGACCACCGAGAGAUUGAAUCCAAUGCAAAAGCAAAGUUGUGUAAGCAAGAUUUCUAUUCAUCUUCCCCUUCACUGUUUGAUUUAUGGCAGACAUUUUUCUAUAGGCUAAUCCAUAAUCUAAAAAGACUUAACCCCCACCCUGAGAGUACAGCCAGCAUAUCUUUUCAUCAGCUUGAUACGGUACAAAUUCUUAUCCUAAUAGUGAAAUGUUUCACUAAAGCUUGCCCAGUGACUGGGCAAAACCAAAAUUUAUUAUAAACCACAGUCA
This is a non-coding RNA of Peromyscus maniculatus bairdii (prairie deer mouse), 964 nucleotides long. The record is from RefSeq and is a predicted model, not a curated record. NCBI's taxonomy places the organism in Eukaryota, Metazoa, Chordata, Mammalia, Rodentia, Cricetidae.